GCGAGGAAUAUUGCACAAUGGAGGCAACUCUGAUGCAGUAACGCCGCGUGGGGGAAGAAGACCUUCGGGUUGUAAACCUCUUUUUGUAGAGACGAGUGAGGACGGUAUCUAUAGAAUCAGUCUCGGCUAACUACGUGCCAGCAGCCGCGGUAAGACGUAGGAGGCGAGCGUUAUCCGGAUUCACUGGGCGUAAAGCGCAUGUAGGCGGUUGGGUAAGUCAUGUGUUAAAGCCCCUGGCUCAACUGGGGGAGGUCAUGUGAGACUACUUGACUUGAGGGCAACAGAGGCACGUGGAACUCCCGGUGUAGCGGUGGAAUGCGUAGAGAUCGGGAAGAACACCCGUGGCGAAGGCGACGUGCUGGGUUGCGACUGACGCUGAGAUGCGAAAGUGUGGGGAGCAAACGGGAUUAGAUACCCCAGUAGUCC
This 426-nucleotide ribosomal RNA is filed under the name uncultured bacterium. RNAcentral describes it as "bacterial SSU rRNA". It matches the Rfam family "Bacterial small subunit ribosomal RNA", at positions 354 to 796 of the family's 1533-position model. The record is from RNAcentral.